UACGUAGGGGGCAAGCGUUGUCCGGAUUUAUUGGGCGUAAAGAGCGUGUAGGCGGCCUGGAAGGUCAGCUGUGAAAACUCGAGGCUCAACCUCGAGACGUCGGUUGAAACCACCUGGCUAGAGUCCGGAAGAGGAGAGUGGAAUUCCCGGUGUAGCGGUGAAAUGCGUAGAUAUCGAGAGGAACACCAAUUGCGAAGGCAGCUCGCUGGGACGUAACUGACGCUGAGACGCGAAAGCGUGGGGAGCAAACAGG
RNAcentral lists this ribosomal RNA (253 nucleotides) under uncultured bacterium. RNAcentral describes it as "partial 16S ribosomal RNA". It matches the Rfam family "Bacterial small subunit ribosomal RNA", at positions 524 to 776 of the family's 1533-position model. The record is from RNAcentral.